RNAcentral lists this ribosomal RNA (496 nucleotides) under uncultured bacterium. RNAcentral describes it as "partial 16S ribosomal RNA". It matches the Rfam family "Bacterial small subunit ribosomal RNA", at positions 30 to 523 of the family's 1533-position model. The record is from RNAcentral.
AUUGAACGCUGGCGGAAUGCUUUACACAUGCAAGUCGAACGGUAGAGGGGGCAACCCCUCGAGAGUGGCGAACGGGUGAGUAAUAUAUCGGAACGUGCCCAGUCGUGGGGGAUAACGUAGCGAAAGUUACGCUAAUACCGCAUACGAUCUAAGGAUGAAAGCGGGGGAUCGCAAGACCUCGCGCGAUUGGAGCGGCCGAUAUCAGAUUAGGUAGUUGGUGGGGGAAAGGCUCACCAAGACAACGAUCUGUAGCUGGUCUGCCUGGACGACCAGCCACGCUGGGACUGAGACACGGUCCAGACUCCUACGGGAGGCAGCAGUGGGGAAUUUUGGACAAUGGACGCAAGUCUGAUCCAGCCAUUCCGCGUGCAGGAUGAAGGCCCUCGGGUUGUAAACUGCUUUUGUACGGAACGAAAAGGUCUCUCUUAAUACGGGGGGCUCAUGACGGUACCGUAAGAAUAAGCACCGGCUAACUACGUGCCAGCCGCCGCAGUAA